RNAcentral lists this ribosomal RNA (253 nucleotides) under uncultured bacterium. RNAcentral describes it as "partial 16S ribosomal RNA". It matches the Rfam family "Bacterial small subunit ribosomal RNA", at positions 524 to 776 of the family's 1533-position model. The record is from RNAcentral.
UACGUAGGGGGCAAGCGUUGUCCGGAAUUAUUGGGCGUAAAGAGCUCGUAGGCGGUUUGUUGCGUCGGCUGUGAAAUCCCGAGGCUCAACCUCGGGUCUGCAGUCGAUACGAGCAAACUAGAGUGUUGCAGGGGGGACUGGAAUUCCUGGUGUAGCGGUGAAAUGCGCAGAUAUCAGGAGGAACACCGGUGGCGAAGGCGAGUCCCUGGACAACACCUGACACUGAGGCACGAAAGCUAGGGGAGCAAACAGG